AGCGUAUAUUAAAGUUGUUGCAGUUAAAAAGCUCGUAGUUGAAUUUCGGGGUUAGUAGGUUGGUCAUGCCUCUGGUAUGUACUGGUCUCACUGAUUCCUCCUUCCUGAUGAACCGUAAUGCCAUUAAUUUGGUGUUGCGGGGAAUUUGGACUGUUACUUUGAAAAAAUUAGAGUGUUUAAAGCAAGCUAACGCUUGAAUACAUUAGCAUGGAAUAAUGAAAUAGGACGUUCGAUCCUAUUUUGUUGGUUUCUAGGAUUGACGUAAUGAUUAAUAGGGAUAGUUGGGGGCAUUAGUAUUCAAUUGUCAGAGGUGAAAUUCUUGGAUUUAUUGAAGACUAACUACUGCGAAAGCAUUUGCCAAGGAUGUUUUCAUUAAUCAAGAACGAAAGUUAGGGGAUCGAAGACGAUCAGAUACCGUCGUAGUCUUAACCAUAAACUAUGCCGACUAGGGAUCGGAUGAUGUUAAUUUUUUAAUGACUCAUUC
Molecule: ribosomal RNA, 484 nt
Filed under: uncultured Glomeromycotina
Lineage: Eukaryota; Fungi; Glomeromycota
Description: SSU rRNA
Rfam family: Eukaryotic small subunit ribosomal RNA
Source: RNAcentral